Long non-coding RNA from Rosa rugosa (rugosa rose), 1859 nucleotides. RefSeq lists it as uncharacterized. The transcript has 4 exons. The record is from RefSeq and is a predicted model, not a curated record. Lineage: Eukaryota; Viridiplantae; Streptophyta; Magnoliopsida; Rosales; Rosaceae.
UUGUUCCUUUCCUGCGUUUGGGAUGCAAAAUGAAAGGUAAUCAUUUACUGAAGGAAGGGAAAAUAAGGGGGAAAGUGGUUCCUUCCAAACCCCAAAGGAAUCACUUUCCCUCCUUCUUUCCUUGCAUUUAUUACUCACAACAUAUUAUUUUAUUACAUUAUUUACAAACUUUUCAACAACUUUUCUGAUAACUUUCCUUACGUUACCAAACAUCGGAAUGGAAAGUUGUUGGGAAAUUUCAUUUCCCUUCCAAUGGAAAAGACAAAGGAAUUACUUUCCUUUCCGUGAACCAAACGAGGCCAAAAGCUUCUCAAUUCCCAACUGCCAAGAUAUUGGGUUCACCUUUUCACAAAAGACCUUUGAAGUUAUGUCCAUCUCUUCUACAGACUGAUCGCAAUUUGAUACCUAUACUUCUGGAAUCCAAUAGGGUUCAUCCUUUUAGGUUUGGCAGGUCUCAGUACAGUUUAAGUUGUUGAUGCUUAUUGAAUUUGUGCAAUGACACCCGAACGCCGUCGAUGGCGUCUUUCACGCUGCGAAAGACAACGUAUAAAUUAUCAAUGAGCCGUUUGUACAAGAUGAUAUGAUUAAGAUCCCAGAUCCAUUGGUUAUUCCUUGGGUUGGUGAUGAAUCUCUUGGCCAACUAAUUGCUUCUAUAUAUCCAGGUUUAGAGGACAAUGCAUUUGAUAGGUUUUAUAUGGUGGAUAGAGCUAUUAUAACGCCUAGGAUGAGGAUGUGGACAAGCUAAAUGAAGUGGUAUUGAAUUCCUUUCCAGGUGAAGAUCAAAUUUAUUAUUCUUUUGAUAGAGUUGAAGAUGACCCUCACAGCUUAUAUCAACAAGAAUUCCUAAAUUCUAUAGCUCCAGGUGGUUUGCCCUCUCAUAAGUUAGCUUUGAAAUUGGGUGCACCCAUAAUGCUGCUUAGAAUUAUUGAUCCAAAAAGUGGGCUAUGCAACGGGACAAGGUUAAUAUGUCGCGGGUUCUUUCCGAACUUUAUUGAUGCAGAGAUUCUCACCGGCCAUUUCAAGGGUACAAGAGUUUUCCUAUGACGAAUUCCUCUUAAGCCUUCAGAAAAUGUGAAGCUUCCGUUCUCUCUCAUACGUCGGCAGUUUCCUAUUAGAUUAAGCUUUGCACUAACAAUAAAAAAAGCUCAAGGUCAAACAAUUCCAAAUGUUGGUGUGUACCUCCCUAAUCACGUCUUCAGCCAUGGCCAGCUUUAUCAAGGGGACUAUCCAUACAAACAACCAAGGUCCUAAUCAAGAAUAGUGCCAUUGAAGAAGAACCUGGAGCUCACACAAGGAAUGUUGUAUUUAAAGAUGUUCUAACGUCAUGCCAAAGGCAAUGAGAUGAUGACCAUUGAUCCUAUAAUAAGACAGUUCAAUUUGAUGCCACAGCUUCAAAAUGAGAAUAUGGAACAAGGGGUAACACUAUUUCAAUUUAUCAAUUCCAUGCAUCAUGCUCGACAAAGUCUUCCAUGACUUGGAUUCAAAUUUAGUUAGGAUUAUAAUCUACUUUUAUCUCCCCAUUCUUUAUUGCAAGCCCACUUUAAUUUUGUGAGCUACUCAUAUAGUCAUAUGAGAUCAUCUUUGGGACUCACUGGUGAUGAUAUAGUACGAUUGGGCUAAAACAGUAAAGUGAAAUUUGUGUAGUUGCUGUUUUUCUUUUUCCUUUUUUGACAAUUUUUUUGUUCUUAAAUUGAUAACAUGUAUGGUAUUUAUUGAUUUUAUGUUAGUGUAUUGGAAAUUUAUAUGUUACAAGUUGUCACUUGGAUUGAAUUAAAUUGUAAGCUGUAUACCGUAUUCGAAUUCAAAUAUUUAUUUUUGAAUAUUUGAAAUUACAAGCGAGCGACUUAUGAUUGAAAAAA